AGCCCCCAAGAGAGAAGGCCACUGAUGAGGGCAGGAGAGAGACGACCGUGUACCGAGGGCUGGUCCAGAAGCGCGGGAAGAAGCAGUUGGGCUCGUUGAAAAAGAAGUUCAAGAGUCAUCACCGCAAACCCAAGAGCUUCAGCUCCUGUAAACAGCCAGGUUAAUAAAAGCACAUGCCGUGAAGUUUCGAGAAAGCCUUCAGAUAUUUCCCCCGCUCCUGAUCAAGCCAUGUGUCCUCUGAAUGAUCGGCUGUCCCCAGUGUCUUCUCUACCCACUUAUCCUUGUCUCAUGACAUCUGCUGUCCUCUAAGGCAGGGCUGAGGGAGUCUGUCCCCCACACCCAGGAAGCAGCAGGGACUCUGAGGGACUAAUUCUCUCUGGACAUGGCUUCUGAGUGGUCUUCAGAGAAGCCUAGAGAAGUAACCUCGCUCACUGGCAUCCUGAGGGGAGCCCCAUUCAGGCUGGGCAACGCUAUAGGAUCACACUGCAUACAACAAAUGCCAUUAUUUAUUUUGAUGUGUUUCCAAAAAUCAAAAUGUUUUCAAACACAACUAAGAUAUAAAAUACAGCAUAAAAUGAGACUUAGAUCUGUUUCCCACAUAAAGCAAAAAAAUCUUAGAAAUUGUUUUGCCAAAAUCAAUUGGUAGAUCCCACUUAUCCUCUCCUCCCUGCAAAGGCAUCUUCCCGAAUCAGGCCCUAGCCCACCCAGGGCCAGGAGAAACAGGAACACCCACUAGGACGGAGGCGCUGCUGGUGCAGAACUGGUGCUGACUGCUCACGUGGCCUCCUUUGGUCCACCCUACUUUCCACCCAUCAGCCAACCAACCUUGACCACAGAGAAACCGUGACUUGGCCAAGGUCAUUUGAUGGGGGCUGUCAUACGGCACUAACAGGGAGCGAGGUGUGGACCAAGAGACAGCCCUGGUGAGGUUGAAACACUGAGACAAGCCAGUCUUCAUGCAGUGAGCACUUGAAUGAUCACAGGAGAAGAGAACCCAUGUCCUGAUGCCAUUGCUCGAUCUUACCAAUAUUCAGGGGUAAGGAAGUAGGCCACCAGGGGAAGAUUUGCAAACGCGUUGGGACUAGCUCGGCUGUGUUAAAAAGGUGCCCCCUCCUCAGGGUAGGUGACUUCCAAAAGCACUUAUGAGCAGAAACCUGCCUCACCCCUGCCCUGCAGAGCCAACGGACGAGAGGCCAAGAGGGAGGCAGGCUCGGGGCUGGUCCGCAGCAGCCCUGGAGACAGGCUGAGCCAGCCUGUCCCCAGAUAGGUCUAGGGGCCAGAGAGGUGUUCCACCACCCUUGUGGCAUUUACUAUGGUGCAGACGACAGGGAGCAACAAGCAGUUAAGUCCCCCCAAAAAGAGAAACACAGUAUAAGGCAGUGUUAGAAAACUUUAAAUACAGGAUUAAGAUCAAAUCGGUAAGGCAUCACAAAUUGUAAAAAGGAAUUUUGGCUGCAUUUGGCAUAGCAAAUGGACAAUCUGAGUGAGCGACAGCCUCAGGAAAGUGGUGUGUCGGGGCUGUCCACAGGGCGAGUGCAGCUGGGAAAGGGCGGUGCUGCUCAGCCAGGGUGGCCUGCGCUUUCGAGACCUUGCUCAGAAAAGGCCCCAUGUGAGGUAACUGGGUUGAGUCCGUGGGUCUCCAGUGCUGGGAGCUCCUGCCACACCCCCUGCCCACAGCGGCUACGGCUCCGCAAGCUGGUCCGAGGAGCAGCUGGCCGGGCUGGCUUGCAGGGUGCUGCUGCUGGGGCUACCCCUGUGCGGUCUCACUAGCCCUCCCCACUGCCAGCUUGGAGGCCAGCAGCACCCAGACCAGCAGCUUCCCCAAGGACUUCUUGCCCCUCCGCCUUGCCUCAAGCUACUAAAACUCCCAGGGUAUUACCCAAUAAAACACUUGGCACCAAUCCAAGCUGAUUUUCUGACCGAUGACUUUUAUCAUAAACAGCAGCUUCCACCACCCCUUUAAUACUGCAUCAUUCUUUGGGUGUCCCUAAAUGUUUUCACUAUUCCUAUAAAAUACAAUGCGGGGCAGAAACAACAUCAAAGCCACUGGUGUGAUUUUAAACCAGGGAGAUUAACUGUUUUGAGGUUUGGCUGAACCACCCAAAAUAAUUUAGUAGUUUCCGCUAAAAAUGUAAACUUAAAAAUAAGAGGGAGACUGCUUUGAAUGAUAAUACCAAUGCGUCUGCUCACAGUACAGCUUGAAGGCCCCCUCCUGUACCCCCACAAAAAAACUCAAAUAGGACUGAGAUGCCACAGCCAAGCGGGCUGUUCACUCCAAAGCCUCGGCGUGGGGGAGGCUUCCAGCUGCCAGGCUGGCCUGCACUGAAGGGUCAGACGCCAGACUGUGGCUCCAGAGCAGACUGAGCCAUCGAUUCUCAGGUGUCUCUGCAAAUAAAGUUCUCAAAACAUCUGUGCCUUUACCAAGGGAGGGGAAGGGAAGAGGAUACAUAAAAGCUGGCAGUUUUGUUGAAUCCACCCCGAACCAGUCCUUGACGGCCACGGGUCUUAGCCAGGCAGGUAGGGAUCUGUGACUGUUACCACUCCUUCUUCUUCUCAUCCAUGGAGACACCCCCAGGGCCCAGGGCCACCACCAGGAGCAAGCCCCCGAUCACCGACAUGGUCUGGAAGAAGUCGUAUUUCAGGAAGUCAUGCAUGGGCUUGUAGACUGGAAUGGUCCAGAAGGCGUUGAAAUAUACGUUGAUGGCAAAGAGCCACACAACAAGAGUCAAAGCAGCCAGCUUGGUUUUAAAACCAAUGGCCACUAAAAUCAUCAGAGCUGUGCCCACGAUGUUCUGGACAAUCUGCAUAGGUUGAAACGUAAGAAAUUCAAAAUAAACGUGAGGAAAAGAGAUGCUUUAUCAACAAAAGUUCCAGCUGCUGCAUGUCAUGAAGUCUCUAUCCAUCAGGCUGAUGCAGCUACUGCUGAGACGGCUGCUGGUGCAAGUAGGGAGAUAAAAGCCGGGGGGAGGCAGGAGGCAAUAAAGCACCAGCUUUGAAAUGUGGAAGGUUUGGGGAAGACUGAAGUUCCCAACUAGUAACAGGCUGUGAUUUACCAAGAUGAAUCUCUAAUCCAUAACUAAAUUCCCAAGUGCUUCUUGGCCCACCCAGCCAUCCAGGCCAGAAACAUCCUCUCUCCUCUCUCCAUGGCGCCAGUUGCUCUUCCUGGACACUACCCGGCCAGGGCUCUCAGUCAGCUCCGGAGGUGUGCUCUGGAAGCUCCUGGAGGCCUGCCCCUGACACCUGACACACAGGAAUCACUUGAGAAAGAUACGAACAGUGAGGAAAGAAAGAAGAGUAAGGGGAGCCCGGGUGGAGAGCCUUGGCCAACCAAGGGCCAAGCACACUCCACCAAGGUCAGAGGUUCUGGCCUUCACUUGCUGGAAAGAAGGCUUGACACACAAGAGAUUGACGAUGUUUUGGUCUGUUUCAAUGGGAUCAAAAAGUUUGCUCCGCCGAGCACGGUGGCUCACGCCUGUAAUCCCAGCACUUUGGGAGGCUGAGACAGGC
This 3507-nucleotide long non-coding RNA is filed under the name Pan troglodytes (chimpanzee). RNAcentral describes it as "long non-coding RNA NONPTRT017649". Lineage: Eukaryota; Metazoa; Chordata; Mammalia; Primates; Hominidae. The record is from RNAcentral.